Picea glauca (white spruce) is the source of this 123-nucleotide non-coding RNA. The record is from Rfam. NCBI's taxonomy places the organism in Eukaryota, Viridiplantae, Streptophyta, Pinopsida, Pinales, Pinaceae.
AUGUACAUUCCUACAACAUACUAUUAAUGCACCAGAUACCAUUAGGACUCCACAAUUAAGUAUGCUCAAGCUAGAGUUGUACUGGGAUGGGUGACUGCUCGGGAAGUCCUAGUGUUUUAUAUU